GCAGUCGAACGCUUCUUUUCCCACCGGAGCUUGCUCCACCGGGAAAAGAGGAGUGGCGAACGGGUGAGUAACACGUGGGUAACCUGCCCAUCAGAAGGGGAUAACACUUGGAAACAGGUGCUAAUACCGUAUAACAAUCGAAACCGCAUGGUUUCGUUUUGAAAGGCGCUUUACGGUGCCGCUGAUGGAUGGACCCGCGGUGCAUUAGCUAGUUGGUGAGGUAACGGCUCACCAAGGCCACGAUGCAUAGCCGACCUGAGAGGGUGAUCGGCCACAUUGGGACUGAGACACGGCCCAAACUCCUACGGGAGGCAGCAGUAGGGAAUCUUCGGCAAUGGACGAAAGUCUGACCGAGCAACGCCGCGUGAGUGAAGAAGGUUUUCGGAUCGUAAAACUCUGUUGUUAGAGAAGAACAAGGGUGAGAGUAACUGUUCACCCCUUGACGGUAUCUAACCAGAAAGCCACGGCUAACUACGUGCCAGCAGCCGCGGUAAUACGUAGGUGGCAAGCGUUGUCCGGAUUUAUUGGGCGUAAAGCGAGCGCAGGCGGUUUCUUAAGUCUGAUGUGAAAGCCCCCGGCUCAACCGGGGAGGGUCAUUGGAAACUGGGAGACUUGAGUGCAGAAGAGGAGAGUGGAAUUCCAUGUGUAGCGGUGAAAUGCGUAGAUAUAUGGAGGAACACCAGUGGCGAAGGCGGCUCUCUGGUCUGUAACUGACGCUGAGGCUCGAAAGCGUGGGGAGCAAACAGGAUUAGAUACCCUGGUAGUCCACGCCGUAAACGAUGAGUGCUAAGUGUUGGAGGGUUUCCGCCCUUCAGUGCUGCAGCUAACGCAUUAAGCACUCCGCCUGGGGAGUACGACCGCAAGGUUGAAACUCAAAGGAAUUGACGGGGGCCCGCACAAGCGGUGGAGCAUGUGGUUUAAUUCGAAGCAACGCGAAGAACCUUACCAGGUCUUGACAUCCUUUGACCACUCUAGAGAUAGAGCUUCCCCUUCGGGGGCAAAGUGACAGGUGGUGCAUGGUUGUCGUCAGCUCGUGUCGUGAGAUGUUGGGUUAAGUCCCGCAACGAGCGCAACCCUUAUUGUUAGUUGCCAUCAUUUAGUUGGGCACUCUAGCAAGACUGCCGGUGACAAACCGGAGGAAGGUGGGGAUGACGUCAAAUCAUCAUGCCCCUUAUGACCUGGGCUACACACGUGCUACAAUGGGAAGUACAACGAGUCGCGAAGUCGCGAGGCUAAGCUAAUCUCUUAAAGCUUCUCUCAGUUCGGAUUGUAGGCUGCAACUCGCCUACAUGAAGCCGGAAUCGCUAGUAAUCGCGGAUCAGCACGCCGCGGUGAAUACGUUCCCGGGCCUUGUACACACCGCCCGUCACACCACGAGAGUUUGUAACACCCGAAGUCGGUGAGGUAACCUUUUGG
This 1416-nucleotide ribosomal RNA is filed under the name Enterococcus mundtii. RNAcentral describes it as "bacterial SSU rRNA". It matches the Rfam family "Bacterial small subunit ribosomal RNA". The record is from RNAcentral. Lineage: Bacteria; Bacillati; Bacillota; Bacilli; Lactobacillales; Enterococcaceae.